UGAUCCUGGCUCAGAUUGAACGCUGGCGGCAUGCCUUACACAUGCAGUCGAGCGGCAGCGCGGGCAACCCUGGCGGCGAGCGGCGAACGGGUGAGUAAUGCAUCGGAACGUGUCCUCUUGUGGGGGAUAACCAGUCGAAAGACUGGCUAAUACCGCAUGAGAUCGAGAGAUGAAAGCAGGGGACCCGCAAGGGCCUUGCGCGAGAGGAGCGGCCGAUGCCGGAUUAGCUAGUUGGCGGGGUAACGGCCCACCAAGGCGACGAUCCGUAGCUGGUCUGAGAGGACGACCAGCCACACUGGGACUGAGACACGGCCCAGACUCCUACGGGAGGCAGCAGUGGGGAAUUUUGGACAAUGGGGGCAACCCUGAUCCAGCCAUGCCGCGUGUGUGAAGAAGGCCUUCGGGUUGUAAAGCACUUUCGGACGGAACGAAAUCGCGCGAUCUAAUAAGUCGCGUGGAUGACGGUACCGUAAGAAGAAGCACCGGCUAACUACGUGCCAGCAGCCGCGGUAAUACGUAGGGUGCGAGCGUUAAUCGGAAUUACUGGGCGUAAAGUGUGCGCAGGCGGCCGCGCAAGUCGAGUGUGAAAGCCCCGGGCUUAACUUGGGAAUUGCGCUCGAAACUACGUGGCUGGAGUGUGGCAGAGGAAGGUGGAAUUCCACGUGUAGCGGUGAAAUGCGUAGAGAUGUGGAGGAACACCAAUGGCGAAGGCAGCCUUCUGGGCCAACACUGACGCUCAUGCACGAAAGCGUG
This 753-nucleotide ribosomal RNA is filed under the name uncultured beta proteobacterium. Its description in RNAcentral is "bacterial SSU rRNA". It matches the Rfam family "Bacterial small subunit ribosomal RNA", at positions 14 to 763 of the family's 1533-position model. Lineage: Bacteria; Pseudomonadati; Pseudomonadota; Betaproteobacteria. The record is from RNAcentral.